UAGAGCGGCCACAGGCAGAGCUCUGGUUUUCCGCACAAGGUGACUGUUUCUGUUGUGAGCUGCUCCCCGCAGACUCCGUGAACUCGAUCUUAGGACCAGGGGCAGAAAACUUGGACUUAUCUUUCACUAAGGAAUGUGAGCACUUCCUUCAGGAAUUCAAACUGCUUCUAAGGUGGAAGUACAAUGAGAAGACACCCAUCUGCAAACCAGGAAGUGGGCCCUCACCAGACACCAGAUCUGAUGGCACUUGAUCUUGGACUUCCCAGCCUCCAGAACUGAAUUAUGAAUCCAGAAGUUCAAGACAGAAAUAGAAAACCAAGAAAACGGAUAACAUUUACAACAAGUUGGGUGGUGGUCUCUUUAGAUACGUGACUUAAUAAAUUGCAG
Long non-coding RNA from Neofelis nebulosa (Clouded leopard), 387 nucleotides. RefSeq lists it as uncharacterized. The transcript is spliced from 3 exons. Lineage: Eukaryota; Metazoa; Chordata; Mammalia; Carnivora; Felidae. The record is from RefSeq and is a predicted model, not a curated record.